RNAcentral lists this ribosomal RNA (468 nucleotides) under uncultured bacterium. RNAcentral's name for it is "partial 16S ribosomal RNA". It matches the Rfam family "Bacterial small subunit ribosomal RNA", at positions 28 to 507 of the family's 1533-position model. The record is from RNAcentral.
GACGAACGCUGGCGGCGUGCUUAACACAUGCAAGUCGAACGGAAAGGCCCUGCUUUUGUGGGGUGCUCGAGUGGCGAACGGGUGAGUAACACGUGAGUAACCUGCCCUUGACUUUGGGAUAACUUCAGGAAACUGGGGCUAAUACCGGAUAGGAGCUCCUGCUGCAUGGUGGGGGUUGGAAAGUUUCGGCGGUUGGGGAUGGACUCGCGGCUUAUCAGCUUGUUGGUGGGGUAGUGGCUUACCAAGGCUUUGACGGGUAGCCGGCCUGAGAGGGUGACCGGCCAUAUUGGGACUGAGAUACGGCCCAGACUCCUACGGGAGGCAGCAGUGGGGAAUAUUGCACAAUGGGCGGAAGCCUGAUGCAGCAACGCCGCGUGCGGGAUGACGGCCUUCGGGUUGUAAACCGCUUUCGCCUGCGACGAAGCGUGAGUGACGGUAAUGGGUAAAGAAGCACCGGCUAACUACGUG